UGCCCACCCUUUUAAGGUAUUAACCAUUCUCUAACAGCAGAACCAUGGGCACGCCUCAGUCUUGUGUUAUGUGCAGAGCAGAAUUAAAUGAGAAACAGAGCCUGUGCACUGGAUUUGUGAGGCAGACUGAAGACAGACUAGAAAUGUUGGGUGUGUAACUCGUAAGUUUCUUGACUAUAUCCAGUCGCUGUAGGGAGCUGUGCAUCCUUCCUGUCACAGCCUGUCUUUGUCUCUGUUUCUGUCUCUGUGACAUACAUAUGCAUGCAUGUUUGUAGCAUGUUUGUACUUUAUGAAAGCUGUAUGUCUUGAGACCGUGCCCUGAGCUUUGAACAUUAUGAGAAAAAUAUAAUAUCCAGUCCUCAGAGCUUCCUGUGGCCAUCUAUGUGAGAAGCAGUAAUUACUCAGCCUGUGAAUCUUGGUUAUUUCUGACUUUCCACCUUUCAAAUGAUUAUGUAAUUUGGUGAAUGUUCCUUUGUAAUUCCGGGUUUCUGAGGUAAUGUAAAUGAAGUGCUCGUUGUGUGUGUGUCUCCUCAUCUGCCCUCAGUGAAAGAUGCAGGGUUUCUCUACAGGAGAUGGGGAUGCUUGGCUUCUGUCCAAGGGGAGUUUUAUGCUUCAUUGAUUUCAAAGAAAAGUAUGAUUAAACCACAGGUUCAUAAUUUAGUGAUGGCAUUAUCUAGAAAGAAUGAGAAAAUGAAAAUAAUUUAGAAGUGUGUAUGUAUGUGUCUGUCUCUAUGUAUAAGUAUAUGUAUGUGUAUUUAUGUCCAUAUAUAUGUAUUAUGUACAUAUGAAUAUAUUUGUGUAUGUCAACAUGUAUGAUAUGUGCAAUGUAUGAGUGCAUAAAUGUGUGUGUUUGUAUGUGUGAGUGUGUACUAUGGAGUGGAGAGCAGAGCUUGAAUCCUGAGAUUAAUGAAAGUGAUGUAUGAUUAACAGUGGUAACAAAACUAUACAGGGAGAGUAAUGAGAGAUCUUACUAGAAGUGUCAACCUAGCUUUUUUGUAUAUGGACAAUAAAACAAAUGAAAGCAAACAGAACAAAUGCUGUACAUCCUAACCAUACAAGAGAAAUGAUUUGUCUGACUUUGGAUGACUCAAUGGUGAAGCUAAUUCUUUAGAAACAGUACUUCCAAGCUUGAUACAAACUAGAGCUAUGUGAGAAGAGGAACCUCAAUGCCUCCAUCAAAUUGUCCAUGGGCAGAUCUGCAGAGCAUUUUCUUGAUUAAUGAAUGAUGUGGGAGGACCCAGUCCACUAUGGGUGUUAUCAUCCAUGGGCAUAUGAUCUUGGAGUAUAUAAGAAUGCAGGCUGAGCAAGCAAUGGGGAAUAAACCAGUAAUCAGCAUUCUUUCAUGGCCUCUGCUUCACUCCCUGCCUCUAGGUUCCUGUCUUGAGUUCCUGCCUUGAUUUCUCUCUUUAAUGAAUUAUAAACUGUAGAAUGAAAUAAACCCUUUACUUCCCCAAGUUGCUUUUGGCCAUGGUGUUUCAUCAUAGCAAUAGAAACCUAACUAAGACAACUUUCCAGGUACCAUAGCAGUUAAUUUUGGGUUUUGUCUUUCUUGCAUUGAGGAAAAACUACAAAACUAUCAAAGUAUAGCUUUGGAUGUUGGAUGUUUCUUCAAGAUUUUCCCCAGAGUAUUGGAAUAUGGACCAGCAAACUGACUGGGAAAAGCCCAUCCCUAGUGGAAGUGGGCACUAUACGCUUGUCUGGGAGGCCCCACUGGAGAAGAAAGCAGAAACUGCGUUGUUUGACCUUCUCCCUUGAGUGGAAUGCUUUCUCCUGCUGCUCCAGGAUUCAAACUACAUAAAUAAUUGCACAUUUCUACUUUUUUCAGUGCAAGAUCGCUAUUGUAGUUCUGAAUGUAAAAUGUCACCCAUAGAUUCAUGUCUGUGGACAUUUUGUGCCCAGCUGAUGGAACCACUUUGGAAGGGUGUAGACUCUUAGAAGAUGGAGCCUUGCUAGAAGAAGCAAGAUCUUGAAGUUUGAUAGCCCCUCUGGUAUGGGUAUGCCUUCUGCUUCCUGAGAAAUGUGACCUGCCACCCAAUGCUCUUGUCACUAUGUCUUCCCUAUCAUGAUACACUAUUGAAUUGUAAGUCAAAAUAAAGCUUCUUUCCUCAGAUU
Molecule: long non-coding RNA, 2112 nt
Organism: Peromyscus californicus insignis
Lineage: Eukaryota; Metazoa; Chordata; Mammalia; Rodentia; Cricetidae
Exons: 2
Source: RefSeq, a predicted model, not a curated record